UUUCUUGUCAUAAAAUGUGAAUUUUAUUUUACAUUAUUAUUGCUUACACUUUUGUUUUUCAGUCUGUGAAGUUAAUCAAGCAGUCUUAAGAGUUGGAGGCAGUGCUGGAUGAAAAAAAGGCAAAUGUAUUUCAGGUUGUGCUGCUGACGGCGCCCCCUUCCCCUGCAGGACUGCAGUUGCUGCUGCCUCGGGAGAGCGACCUGAUCCCUCACCCCAGCCACCAGAGA
This 227-nucleotide long non-coding RNA is filed under the name Delphinapterus leucas (beluga whale). RNAcentral describes it as "lncRNA (ENSDLEG00000000986.1)". Lineage: Eukaryota; Metazoa; Chordata; Mammalia; Artiodactyla; Monodontidae. The record is from RNAcentral.